Molecule: ribosomal RNA, 741 nt
Filed under: Penicillium sp. 8 BRO-2013
Lineage: Eukaryota; Fungi; Ascomycota; Eurotiomycetes; Eurotiales; Aspergillaceae
Description: eukaryotic LSU rRNA
Rfam family: 5.8S ribosomal RNA (bases 290-442)
Source: RNAcentral
UUGUUUGGAAUGCACUUUACCCCCCCUGCCUUUUAUUUGGUCAAACUCUUUCAUUUAGAGGAAGUAAAAGUCGUAACAAGGUUUCCGUAGGUGAACCUGCGGAAGGAUCAUUACCGAGUGAGGGCCCUCUGGGUCCAACCUCCCACCCGUGUUUAUUUUACCUUGUUGCUUCGGCGGGCCCGCCUUAACUGGCCGCCGGGGGGCUUACGCCCCCGGGCCCGCGCCCGCCGAAGACACCCUCGAACUCUGUCUGAAGAUUGAAGUCUGAGUGAAAAUAUAAAUUAUUUAAAACUUUCAACAACGGAUCUCUUGGUUCCGGCAUCGAUGAAGAACGCAGCGAAAUGCGAUACGUAAUGUGAAUUGCAAAUUCAGUGAAUCAUCGAGUCUUUGAACGCACAUUGCGCCCCCUGGUAUUCCGGGGGGCAUGCCUGUCCGAGCGUCAUUGCUGCCCUCAAGCCCGGCUUGUGUGUUGGGCCCCGUCCCCCGAUCUCCGGGGGACGGGCCCGAAAGGCAGCGGCGGCACCGCGUCCGGUCCUCGAGCGUAUGGGGCUUUGUCACCCGCUCUGUAGGCCCGGCCGGCGCUUGCCGAUCAACCCAAAUUUUUAUCCAGGUUGACCUCGGAUCAGGUAGGGAUACCCGCUGAACUUAAGCAUAUCAAUAAGCGGAGGAAAAGAAACCAACAGGGAUUGCCCCAGUAACGGCGAGUGAAGCGGCAAGAGCUCAAAUCCAAAGCUGGCUAGA